Molecule: long non-coding RNA, 880 nt
Filed under: Homo sapiens (human)
Lineage: Eukaryota; Metazoa; Chordata; Mammalia; Primates; Hominidae
Description: HSALNT0073670
Source: RNAcentral
UAGAAGGAAAAGAUAAGAGCCAUAGCUGGCUUACCAAAUGUGCCAAACACAAUGACAGCCAUCAGGAGGAGUGCUGGUUCUGGAGCUUGGAAGUCCAAAAUCAAGGUUUGACAGGUUGUUUCUUUCUGAGGACUAUGAGAGAAGAAGUUGUUCCAGGACGUGAGACUUCAAAAACUGCUGAAAAUGAGCUUUUCUAACAAUGUUGGGCCUAUUUGUCUAGGAAUAAAUCAUCCUAGCAACGAGAGAUCAGACAAAACCCAAGAUUAGAUACUAAUUUUCUUCCAAAAUGCUUUCUCAGAAAAAUUGUAAAAAGAGGGGAAAAUGUGAAUGGAAAAUGAAAUCUUGGGACCCCAAUUUACUCUGCCAAAAGAAAAGAAAAUUAAGCUGAAAGGUGAGUCAUGCAAGAAGCUGCCUUUCCUUUUGUUCCUAAGCAGAAAGGUACAAAUAAAAAGUUAAAUACCACCAUGGGUAGCUACUCUAUGUUUACUUUAUCUUAUAAAGAGCAUCAGACCAAUACAAAGUUGACUAUUUCCGUAACUGCUACUUUUCUCUUGCAAUAUGUGGGGUCAGUAAUGUGACCGUGCCUUCUCUCUGACCCCUCCAGGCUCUCUCGCCUUUAAACAUUAAAGCCCUCAAAAUCAUCUUUGGAAAAAUGCACGGACCUGUCCCACAGAUGAGUGACAUUAACCUUGGCAAAAUAAACUUCUAAAUUGAUGAAGACCUGUCUCAGAUACUUUCAUGUUUACAUCUUCAGUGGGGAUAUUUUAAACACAGUUCAACCUGGAUAUCAUGUUAAGUGGAAGGUGUGGACUGAUAAUGGUUUUAAACUUGAGAGUGCACUAGAGUCAUCUUGAGGGCUUCUUAGAACACUGACUUUUUG